ACACGUCUACAUUAGAUACCCGGGUAGUCCCAGCCGUAAACGAUGCGCGUUAGGUGUAUCGACGACCACGAGUCGUCGAGGUGCCGAAGGGAAACCGUGAAACGUGCCGCCUGGGAAGUACGGUCGCAAGGCUGAAACUUAAAGGAAUUGGCGGGGGAGCACCACAACAGGUGGAGCCUGCGGUUUAAUUGGACUCAACGCCGGAAAUCUCACCGGAUAAGACAGCAGAAUGAUUGCCGGGCUGAAGACUCUGCAUGACUAGCUG
RNAcentral lists this ribosomal RNA (265 nucleotides) under uncultured archaeon. RNAcentral describes it as "partial 16S ribosomal RNA". It matches the Rfam family "Archaeal small subunit ribosomal RNA", at positions 717 to 982 of the family's 1478-position model. The record is from RNAcentral.